GAGAAAGCGCGUAAGAGCGUAUGGUGGAUGCCUUGACACAAGAAGCCGAAGAAGGACGUGAUAGUCUGCGAUAAGCUACGGUGAGCUGACAAUAAGCAUUAUCAGCCGUAGAUGUCCGAAUGGGAGAACCCAGUCCGAUUUAUCGGAUUACCUCUUGCUGAACACAUAGGCAAGAUGGCGGCCAGCCAGUGAACUGAAACAUCUAAGUAACUGGAGGAAAAAAGACAAAGUUUGUAAUUCCCUUAGUAGUGGCGAGCGAACGGGGAAAAGCCUAAACCUAAGUUAGGGGAAACUGUCAUGAUUUUUUGAUUCGUCAAGAAUGAUUGGCUUUUUCGCUGUAUUGGCAGUAGUCCUGAUCUAGGUGUUAUAGGAGCUGUUGUUUCGUUACCAAUGUGACGAGAGACAAGUUAUCAAUCUGGUAGAUAAUAGAACUCAGCUGGAAAGCUGGACCGUAGUGCGUAAUAGUCGCGUAUAUGAAGUCUAAUCAGACUUGUCAAACAGAUUUCCUGAGUACUACCGAAUAGGUGAAAGACGGUAGGAAUUAACCUGAACCACCAGGUAAGGCUAAAUACUUCUUGUGAUCGAUAGCGAAUUAGUACCGCGAGGGAAAGGUGAAAAGAACCCCGGGAGGGGAGUGAAAUAGAUCCUAAAACCAUAUGCUUACAAGCAGUCGGAGUACCGAUUUAUCGGUAUGACGGCGUGCCUAUUGAAGAAUGAGUCUGCGAGUUAUCCUGUACGGUUGCUUAAGCUGUUCUGCAGUGGAGGCUAAGCGAAAGCGAGUCUGAAAGGGCGACAAUAAUCGUAUAGGAUAGACCCGAAACCGUGUGAUCUAUCCAUGGGCAGGUUGAACUCCGUAGAAAUACGGAGGGAGGACCGAACCGGUAAGCGCUGAAAAGCUUUCGGAUGACCUGUGGUUAGGGGUGACACGUCAAUCGAACACGGAAAUAGCUGGUUCUCCCCGAAAUAGCUUUUGGGCUAGCCUCGGUAUUUAUAUCUACACGGAGGUAGAGCACUGAUUGGGUCGAGGGUUCCUUCGGGAAUACCUCACUCUCUCAAACUCCGAAUGCCGUGUAGUUUUAGCCGGGAGUCAGACCGUGAGGGAUAAGCUUCACUGGUCAAGAGGGAAACAGCCCAGAAUAUCGGAUAAGGUCCCUAAAUCUAUACUAAGUGGAAAAGGAGGUGGAAUUUCUAUGACAGCUAGGAGGUUUGCUUGGAGGCAGCCAUCCUUUAAAGAAAGCGUAAUAGCUCACUAGUCGAGAGAUUCUGCGCCCAUAAUGAUCGGGGCUCAAGUAUAGUACCGAAGCCAUAUCGUCACGUACUCUUCGGAGUGCGUGCAUGGGUAGGGGAGUGUUGUAUGCUGCAGUGAAGUUGCACUGUGAGGUGUGAUGGAGUGCAUACAAGUAAGGAUGCAGACAUGAGUAGCGCAAUCUCGAUGAAAAAUCGGGACACCGAAUGUUCAAGGUUUCCUCUGCUACGGUUUUCGUCAGAGGGUUAGUCGGUCCUAAGCCGAGGCUGAAAGGCGUAGGUGAUGGACAACAGGUUAAUAUUCCUGUACUGUUAAUGUUUCGUUAUCAACUAAGGAGGGACAGAGGGGGAGAAGCUGAUGAGCUCACAGGUGAGCUUCCAAGCAAUAAGGUAGAGUGGUUAGGUAAAUCCGGCCAUUCGUUCCCCGACUUGUCGGGGUGGAUCCAAGUUGUGAUGGGGAGUUUUUACUUUCGGGUAAAGGCAAGUUCAGCAAUUCCACUUACUGGAAAAUCUUCUAAGUGAGAAACAUUAUCAACCGUACCGCAAACCGACACAGGUGAACUGGUAGAAAAUACCAAGGUGUACGAGUUAUGCCUUGCUAAGGAAUUCGGCAAAUUACUACCGUAACUUCGGGAGAAGGUAGCCCCGCCUAUGGCGGGGGGCACAAAAUAGACUCCAUCGACUGUUUAACAAAAACACAGGUCCGUGCUAACACGUAAGUGGAUGUAUACGGGCUGACGCCUGCCCAAUGCCAGAAUAUUACCGGAGAGGGUGAUAGUUCGAUUUAUCGGACAGGAGCCUUCGACUUAAGUACUGGUGAAUGGCGGCUGUAACCAUGACGGUCCUAAGGUAGCGAAGUUCCUCGGCGCUUAAUAGGCGUCCCGCACGAAUGGCGUAACGAGUGGAGUGCUGUCUUAGCAGGUUGCUCGGCGAACAAUGAAAUGGCUGUGAAGAUGCGGCCUACCCGCACCAGGACAAAAAGACCCCGGGAUCUUUACUACAGUUUGGCAUUGGAACAAGAUUUUUGCUGUAGAGCGUAGGAAGGAGACUUUGAAGCCUCAUCGUCAGAUGGGGUGGAGUCGUCAAUGUAACACUUCCCUGUAAUUGUUUUGUUUCUAAUAGAAUCCGUAAUCCGGACAUCUAAACAUUGCCAGAUGGGUAGUUUAAUUGGGGCGAUUUCUUACUAAAAGGUAACGUAAGAUUCCAAAGGUAACCUCAGGUUGGAUGGAAAUCAACCGAAGAGUAUAAAGGCAUAAGGUUGCUUUACUGCAAGACUGACAGGUCGAGCAGUCACGAAAGUGGGGCUUAGUGACCUUCUGAUGGCGCGUGGAAGCGUCAUUGUUCAAAGGAUAAAAGUUACCCCGGGGAUAACAGGCUAGUCUUGCCCGAGCGUCCAAAGCGACGGCAAGGUUCGGCACCUCGAUGUCGGCUCGUCAUAUCCUGGAGCUGAAUAAGGUUCCAAGGGUUGGGCUGUUCGCCCAUUAAAAUGGCACGUGAGCUGGGUUCAAACCGACGUGAGUCAGGUUGGUCUCUAUCCGGUGUGGGCGUUCGAAUUCUGAGAGGAUUGGCCCUUAGUACGCGAGGACCAGGGUCAGGUAACCUCUAGUGCACCAGUUGUUCCACCAGGAGCAUAGCUGGGUAGCUACGUUGCUAUCUUGAUAACCACUGAAAGCAUCUAAGUGGGAAGCAGGCCUCAAGAUGAGAAUUCGUUGAAGACUCCUAGUAGACUACUAGGUUGAUAGGUACCAGGUGUACGUACAGUAAUGUAUUUAGCCGAGGUAUACUAAUAAGUCGAAAUGCUUUCAAAA
This 3053-nucleotide ribosomal RNA is filed under the name Candidatus Doudnaibacteriota bacterium. Its description in RNAcentral is "Candidatus Doudnabacteria bacterium 23S ribosomal RNA". It matches the Rfam family "Bacterial large subunit ribosomal RNA". The record is from RNAcentral. Lineage: Bacteria; Candidatus Doudnaibacteriota.